AACUCAUGUCUAUCGUGGCAUAGGCAAAAGCGGUAUGGAUAUGGGGUGUGUUCUUGGAGCUAGUUUAAGCUGUCAGGCUGCUGGGUAUCUGAUUUUAAACAGGCCUAUAAUUUAGUACUUUGAGUAAUUAGAUUGUUCUAACUGCCAAUAAAGUAUACCUCAGCUUGCCGACACUUAAAGUGGCUAUGAGAAAUUAAUUUCACCCUCAGGUUUGUUGGCUCUCAACCCAUGAGGUUUCUCGCAGAACAAACAUCAGGUACAUGAGGUUUCUUGCAGAACAAAAAUGAGGUCCAUAGAUUAAUUUUAAAUAUGGCAAGUUUCUCGUUAUGUGUGGAAAGAGUGCCUGUUUGUUCUGUAUAACUGAGGACCAGUUAUCGAGCGUUGCGUAACAUGCAAUGCCUCAUUUUAUGACGAUUCCUGUAGAACCCCCUCUGCUUUGCUCCUUGAAACUAACUUACUACUUCUUUUCUUCUAGAUGAUGUCAGCUGGUAGAAUCUUCGAGGAUCGCACCGAACAGAUGUCCAUCUGAGGAUACCCAAAUUAUCCAUAUAUCAGACCGAAAGGCGCAGUUGCGUAGCAGUUGAGUUUUGCUGGUUAGCUGUUAAGGUGGCGUUGCGGUGCAGAGUGCUUGGCUGUUUCCAGUAUUCUCCUGAUUGCUCCUGUGUAACGCCUUGAUUUGAUUUUCUUUCAAUUUUGGCUGCAGCAUUUAUUCUUUUUGCAGAAAGAUCCUGUGCAAGUCCUUUUGUGAAAACUUAUUAUAAGGCAGAUAUCUGAGCUUAUUUCACAUCUCCGGAAGAGUUCUAUCAUUUGUGAUAUGCUCACUUGGUCAUAAUUUUCAUGUGAAUAAUAAAAGGUUUUCUUUCUCUGAGCAUGGCUGAUUUGAUGUAUACCUAAUUUUUACUAGUUUUUUCAGUGUCUUUUAUGUUUGGUGUUAAAGAAGCAAAUUAAACUCAUUAACUGGAAAUAAAUUGUGCGUUGAUACAAAGUAUUGGUAUCAUGUGUGACAUCGUUCAUGGAUUCAUACUCGAUGGCUUUUGGUGAGACUUUAAAAUCUGAAGUUUUAUUCCAAAGUAAAUUUGUCAUCAAGACUUACUAAACAUUUUUACUUGGAUGUGUACAAACAUGAUUGACUGAAAAAUGUUACUCGGGUCUUAAAACAAAAGGCAAAAUAAAUUCGUAAUGACCUAUUAAAGUCAGUAUGAAGUUAAGU
Sinocyclocheilus anshuiensis is the source of this 1210-nucleotide long non-coding RNA. Lineage: Eukaryota; Metazoa; Chordata; Actinopteri; Cypriniformes; Cyprinidae. The record is from Ensembl.